GCAUUGGUGGUUCAGUGGUAGCAGAAUUCUCGCCUGCCACGCGGGAGGGCCCGGGUUCGAUUCCCGGCAACUGAGCA
RNAcentral lists this transfer RNA (77 nucleotides) under Merluccius polli (Benguela hake). RNAcentral describes it as "tRNA-Gly". It matches the Rfam family "tRNA". From Rfam's summary of the family: Transfer RNA (tRNA) molecules are approximately 80 nucleotides in length. Their secondary structure includes four short double-helical elements and three loops (D, anti-codon, and T loops). The record is from RNAcentral. Lineage: Eukaryota; Metazoa; Chordata; Actinopteri; Gadiformes; Merlucciidae.